UAUAUUUUAGUGUAAAAUGCACAAUGAUUUUUGAUUUCAUGAGAUUUAGAUUAUAUCUAAAAAAUAUAA
RNAcentral lists this transfer RNA (69 nucleotides) under Ischnobaenella hainana. RNAcentral describes it as "tRNA-Gln". The record is from RNAcentral. Lineage: Eukaryota; Metazoa; Arthropoda; Insecta; Hemiptera; Reduviidae.